GUACUCACUGUAUACUCAUAGUAUUGUAUGUCAUGAAAUAAUUUAAUAAAAAAGUAAGUAAUAGUACGUAUUAUGUCAAAAAAAGCUCAGAAAAGUCAUACAUAAUGUCAAAAAGUGUUAUUACAUAGUUAUUACAUUGUUAUAACAUGUAUUAAUGACAAAAAUCUAUCAAAAAGUGUUAUUACAUAGUUAUUACAUUGUUAUAACAUGUAUUAAUGACCAAAACAUCUAUCAAAAAGUGUUAUUACACAGUUGUACACAGUACAUGCCAUAAAAGUGGGCGUAAAUUAUUUUUUCGUCCAUGAAAAAAAAAUUCAAAAAAAAUUCUAAUUUUUUUUUUCUUAAAUGAGGAUGUUCUCUUCCUUUGUCGGAGUUGUCCUAUUCGGGUCUCUCCCUUGCUCUGAGGUGUCCUACUCUGGUCUCUCCCUUUAUCUGAUUUGUCCUACUCUGGUCUCUCCCUUUCUCUGAGGUGUUCUACUUUGGUCUCUCCCUUUGUCUGAGGUGUCCUACUCUUCUCUGAGUUGUCCUACUCUUGUCUCUUCCUUUGUCUGAGGUGUCCUACUCUUGUCUCUUCCUUUGUCUGAGGUGCCCUACUCUGGUCUCUCCCUUUCUCUGAGGUGUCCUACUCUGGUCUCUCCCUUUCUCUGAGGUGUCCUACUCUGGUUUCUCCCUUGCUCUGAGGUGUCCUACUCUGGUCUCUCCCUUUCUCUGAGUUUUCCUACUCUGGUUUCUGCCUGUCCUUGUGUUAAUACUCUCCUACUCUCUUCUUGCCUGCACUUCCUUUCCUAGCCUCUCUUUCCUAUCUGGGGGGCCUAUCUAAGUGCACAUACGCUGAUACCGAGCUGGUCUUGAACCCGUCACUGGCGCCUUUAGUGGCGAGGACAAACCAACCGCGCCACCAACGCGCACGUACGCAUGCAACUGUUCUCCGGGUGUAUUUGUCUUUGUCAUUCUGUGUGUAAAGCUCAAAAUAAAUUGACUGUUCUUGUGUUGGAACCCAUAACCUUUGUGUCUCUUAACCAGCGUUCCAUCACACUGAGCUAUCAGAUCUGAUCACUAAGCUUAUUGUUAGUUGUGUAUUUGUCUUUGUCAUUCUGGGUGUAAAGCGCAAAAUAAAUAGUUUAUUCCUGUA
This is a long non-coding RNA of Perca fluviatilis (European perch), 1132 nucleotides long. RefSeq lists it as uncharacterized. The record is from RefSeq and is a predicted model, not a curated record. Lineage: Eukaryota; Metazoa; Chordata; Actinopteri; Perciformes; Percidae. The transcript is spliced from 2 exons.